Molecule: long non-coding RNA, 1385 nt
Organism: Eriocheir sinensis (Chinese mitten crab)
Lineage: Eukaryota; Metazoa; Arthropoda; Malacostraca; Decapoda; Varunidae
Exons: 4
Source: RefSeq, a predicted model, not a curated record
GGAAAAGAAGUAAGACUCGUUUCGACAUCCUCUCCCAAACCACAGAAGCAGAAAUCAACACUCGUUAUUACAUUAUUAAACCGUAUCCAUUUAUUUUUCUCUCUGUUAAUAGUGAAACAUCCCCAGAAUAAAGGAAUGAUGGCAUCGAGACGGCUAAUUAACACACACCUAUCACUCCUGAGGGCGACGCUGACGAAGGGAGGAGGAGGAGGAAUAGGAGGAGGAAGGAGGGACUGUCACGGAGGAAGCAUCAGGGAAGGAGGAGGAGGUUUUGCUAAGAGGGCCGUGGCGAAGGAGGAGCAAUACUUCAGAGAGGAGGAACGCCGUCAGAUCAAAGAACUGAAGAAGGAGCUGCAGAGGGGUCGUUUGCAGUCCAGGAGCCAUCGGUCGGAGCUGCUGGAGGAAGAGGUGGAGAGGCAGAAGGAGAGAGCGGAGGAGCAUGCGAAGAAGGCGGCGUUCCACAGGGAGGGCAUGGAGAGCCACCGCAGAGAAUGGGAACGCCACCUCAGCAGGAUCGAAUACCACAACGAGAAGGAGAGGGUAUUGAGGGAGAAGAUAGAGAGGAUCAAGGAGGAAAAAGAGAAGGAGAAGGAGGAGGGAGAGGAGUAGGGGACAGUUUAUUAGAAUCGAGUACCACUAUAGAAGGAAAAGAUGUUGAGGGAGAAGAUAGAGAGGAUCAAGGAGGAAAAAGAGGAAGAGGAGGAGUAAUAGGGAGGGAGUUGAGGGUGAGGAAUAAAGAGGAAAAAGAGGAGGAUGAGGAGUGAUACAUGAGAGCUUCUUAGGUUCGAAUACCAUAAAGAGGAGGAAGAAAGGGAGUUCAAGUAGAUUGGAGGGAAUUAAAAACGACAAAGAGAAUCAAGAAGAGUGAUUGGAUACCUUCUUUUGGGGUUAAAUGUUACAGAUAGAAGGAUUAAGGGGAUUGAAGUAGAAACUGAAGAGGAUCAAGGAGGGAUAGGAAGAUCAAGGGUGAGAUGUAACAUGUUCUUAGGUUCUAAUACCACAGCGAGAAGGAAAGGGUGUUGAGGGGGAAGAUGGAGAGGAUUAAGGAGGAAAAGGAGAAGGGUGCGGAGUAAUAUAAUGAGUUAAGGACGAAGAGGAGGAAGAGGAGUUGGUUUACUUAUUAUUUCGUUGUGUUUAUUAAUUAAGUCGUUUCGUUAUUAAGUAAAAUGUAAAAUUGCAUGAGUGGCUGCAUGGUAAGCUUUCUUUUCUUUCUUUAUCAUUUAAGCAACAAAAAGGAGAAAAAAAAUAGUUGCUUUAAAGAUUAACUCCUCUGCUAAGUAAAAAAAUAUUACUGAUUUUUAAGGAAACAGAAGAACAUACGAUUUAUGAUUAUUUUCUGUAUAUUUUUGUACCGUAAGAGCUGAUUGCCUCUAAUAAAAAUACAA